CCCUCUCUCUCUCUCUCUUACAUAAUGAAGCCUCGUGCACAUAGAGGAAGAGGCUUCACACACACACAUACUCAACUAUCUCUCCAUCGCUACUAUUUCCCACACUGUUUCAUUUUUGCAUCCAAACCCUAACAUAACACGAGCGAGUGCUGAGAUUGUCACCGGCACCAACACCACCACCACCUCCACCUCCACCACCACCACCACCACCACCACCACCACUACUACUACUACUACUAAUAAUAAUACUAAUAUAAUAGUAGUAGUAUUAUCAGCAUCAUCAGCACCACCUUAAUAUUGCAUUUGUUCCUCAACAUAGGAAUUGUUCUCCUAUAUUCUGUCACAAGAGUUAAGAGAAGCAAGAAACAUGAAGUCUUGGAGAAUAUUAUGUUUCGUUAUAUUGUUGAUCACGAUGACUGCAGCAGAUGAUCAGUUGCUGUGCUGUAUGAAAGGUGUAAAAAGAAUGAGAAAAGCUGUGUUCUGUUCUGAACCAUGUUGUUCAGGCUACAUUGAACGCGUUGAAAAUCCUCCACUGCUGGGUCUUGUGGUCUUUUGUGAGAAGCUGGAGCCUUCCCUUCCAUUGUAGCCAUCGGAUAGUUUCAAGUUUCGUAUUGACGGGGAGUGGCGGGGCAAACCCAGAUACUGUGCAUGAUGGGAAAACGGUCUAACAUGUGGAAUAUGCGUUACCUUAAUAGUUCUGUUCAUAGCCAUGGCUGUUGUUGUAUAUAAACCGUACCAUGGUUCUGACAAGUCAACAUCUCGAAUUCCUCACAGAUCAAUGGAACCUCUAGCAACUUUCGUUAACACUGUAUUUAAUCUGAAUAAUGCACUCUAACCUUGGUAAUCUUCACAGCUGUCAUAGAUGACCAACACCAGUAAUUAUUUUACAUUCUAUAUACACUGAAGCAAUAAACUAUGUAGAGUAGUGAGUUGGCUCUGAGUUAAAAACUCAACAGUUCAUAAUUAUGUUCCCAUCAAUUCCUUAAUGUACUUCGUUGCUAUUAUGCAAAAGUGUCGUAAGUUCAAAACGUUGCUUUGUCAGAAAACGAAAAAAUAGUUCGUGAAGUAUUUGCCACUUAAAUGUGGCUAACCCCUAAGGGUGGAUGCUACUGCAGCUUGUAGCCCCAGGAGGACAUCUCCUCCAGCUGGCUAUUAACACACUUUCUGUGCCCUAUCAAUAUUUACAAAGGGAAGCCACCCUUCCCAUCUUCAACCUGUAUGAUACAGCUGUCAUAGUUUCAACAUUCCAUAGCAAAACCGUUGUACUACACUUUGAUAAUUUUUUAUAUCUUGGUAUCUGAAGCAGCUGGAGAUACCGUAGAUUGACCAAAAGAACCGGCUAUAGCAAGCAAAAAUAAAUAUUGAAAAAAACGCAUUUGGCCAAAUUUGGACAUACGACAAUUUAACAUAAUAGCAACGACUUAAUGUUUGAGGGAGAUGCAUAGACAUCACAAUUCUCAUUUCAAAUUUUUUUUCAAUAAUAUUAUUUCAAACAAGUUCUUCAUCCUUGGAGAAAUUAACAAGAAUCACCAUCAUAUAUUAUGUUAUGGGUAACGCUCAGAAAUCGAUGAACUAUUGAAAUAAAUAAAAACAAAUAGCGACAAACAGAUAUACAGGUAGGCAGAUAGAAACUGACAGACAGUAUCUAACUACAUUCUGUCAUGUAUGCAUGUACUUUAUUCAGCAAUUUAAUCAUAUGUAAUAAAUGUCUAAUAGACAAAA
Long non-coding RNA from Octopus sinensis (East Asian common octopus), 1722 nucleotides. RefSeq lists it as uncharacterized. The transcript is spliced from 5 exons. The record is from RefSeq and is a predicted model, not a curated record. Lineage: Eukaryota; Metazoa; Mollusca; Cephalopoda; Octopoda; Octopodidae.